RNAcentral lists this RNase P RNA (420 nucleotides) under Oscillibacter sp. RNAcentral describes it as "partial RNase P RNA component class A". It matches the Rfam family "Bacterial RNase P class A". Rfam says of the family: Ribonuclease P (RNase P) is a ubiquitous endoribonuclease, found in archaea, bacteria and eukarya as well as chloroplasts and mitochondria. Its best characterised activity is the generation of mature 5'-ends of tRNAs by cleaving the 5'-leader elements of precursor-tRNAs. The record is from RNAcentral. Lineage: Bacteria; Bacillati; Bacillota; Clostridia; Eubacteriales; Oscillospiraceae.
AGGCCGUCCAUGAGGAAAGUCCGGGCUCCACAGGGCAAGGAUAACGGGUAACGCCCGCCGAAGGCGACUUCAGGAAAAGUGCAACAGAGAUAUACCGCCUCCCCCGUUACAAAAUGGGGUCCCCGCAAAACACAGUUUUUGUAGGGAGAGGAAGCACAGCGAAAUGAAUGUCCCUGCCGCUUUGCGGCGUGUGGCAGGAUAUGGAGCUUGUGCCGACGAGGUAAGGGUGGAAAGGUGCGGUAAGAGCGCACCCAUCGGCUCGAGAGUGUCCGAUGCUGUAAACUCUAUCCGGAGCAACACCGGUAUGGGAGCACACAGGCUGGCCCGGCCGCUCCCGGGGUGGCUGGAGCGCACUGGCAACAGCGCGCCUAGAUAGAUGGCUGUCAAAUACAGAACCCGGCUUACAGUUUUGCUCGCAAA